AGCGAACGCUGGCGGCAGGCUUAACACAUGCAAGUCGAGCGGGCACUUUCGGGUGUCAGCGGCGGACGGGUGAGUAACGCGUGGGAACGUGCCCUCUGGUUCGGAAUAACUCAGGGAAACUUGAGCUAAUACCGGAUACGCCCUUUUGGGGAAAGGCUUGCUGCCGGAGGAUCGGCCCGCGUCUGAUUAGCUAGAUGGUGAGGUAACGGCUCACCAAGGCGACGAUCAGUAGCUGGUCUGAGAGGAUGAUCAGCCACACUGGGACUGAGACACGGCCCAGACUCCUACGGGAGGCAGCAGUGGGGAAUAUUGGACAAUGGGCGCAAGCCUGAUCCAGCCAUGCCGCGUGAGUGAUGAAGGCCUUAGGGUUGUAAAGCUCUUUUAUCCGGGACGAUAAUGACGGUACCGGAGGAAUAAGCCCCGGCUAACUUCGUG
RNAcentral lists this ribosomal RNA (435 nucleotides) under uncultured bacterium. Its description in RNAcentral is "partial 16S ribosomal RNA". It matches the Rfam family "Bacterial small subunit ribosomal RNA", at positions 29 to 507 of the family's 1533-position model. The record is from RNAcentral.